UCCCUUGAAAAUGUGUCUGCUGGGCAA
Molecule: non-coding RNA, 27 nt
Filed under: Homo sapiens (human)
Lineage: Eukaryota; Metazoa; Chordata; Mammalia; Primates; Hominidae
Source: RNAcentral